Molecule: small RNA, 1801 nt
Filed under: Pan troglodytes (chimpanzee)
Lineage: Eukaryota; Metazoa; Chordata; Mammalia; Primates; Hominidae
Description: retained intron
Source: RNAcentral
ACUGAGAUGCAUGAAGAUUCAGCUGUGAAGAUACUAUAAAAAGAGAAGAGAAGGACCGAGACAGAAGCAACAACGGAACUGUCAGUGCGGAGUAGGGCUAAACUCAGUUCCAUUGUUAACCAAGGAAAAACAAACAAUACAUUGAAUUUGACAACCCGCUGAAGUUGCAGAUAAUGAGGACUUACCAUUGUAUACCAUUAUUCAUCUGGACCUAUAUGUUCCAUACAGUUGACACCAUCCUAUUACAAGAAAAACCUAACAGUUAUUUAUCAAGCAAAAAGAUAGUGGGUCUGACAAAAGAUGACGGUAAAAUGCUACGUCGCACCAAGCGUGGCUGGAUGUGGAAUCAGUUCUUCUUAUUGGAAGAGUACACAGGUACUGACACACAAUAUGUAGGCAAGCUUCACACUGACCAAGAUAAAGGAGAUGGAAAUUUAAAAUACAUACUAACAGGAGAUGGGGCUGGCAGUCUAUUUGUUAUAGAUGAAAAUACAGGAGACAUUCAUGCUGCAAAGAAACUAGACAGAGAAGAAAAAUCUCUGUACAUUCUUCGUGCCAAGGCUAUAGACAGAAAAACUGGGCGGCAGGUGGAACCGGAAUCGGAAUUUAUCAUUAAAAUUCAUGAUAUCAAUGACAAUGAGCCAAAAUUUACAAAAGACUUAUACACUGCCAGUGUUCCUGAAAUGUCUGGAGUCGGUACAUCUGUUAUACAAGUAACUGCAACAGAUGCAGAUGACGCCAACUAUGGAAAUAGUGCCAAAGUGGUCUAUAGCAUAUUGCAAGGACAGCCAUAUUUUUCAGUGGACCCAGAAUCAGGCAUAAUAAAAACUGCAUUACCAGACAUGAGCAGAGAAAAUAGAGAGCAGUACCAGGUUGUUAUACAGGCCAAAGACAUGGGUGGCCAGAUGGGAGGCCUUUCUGGAACCACCACAGUGAACAUCACGCUGACAGAUGUCAACAACAACCCUCCUCGAUUUCCCCAGAGUACGUAUCAAUUUAAUUCUCCUGAGUCUGUACCUCUUGGAACUCAUCUUGGAAGGAUAAAAGCCAAUGACCCUGACGUGGGGGAAAAUGCAGAAAUGGAGUAUAGCAUUGCUGAAGGAGAUGGUGCAGACAUGUUCGAUGUCAUCACUGACAAGGAUACACAGGAAGGGAUUAUAACUGUCAAACAGGUUUCUUUUCACUGUCUUCAUUUUUUCAUUGAGUGCUUUAUAAUUUACGUUUGCUUUUCAGUAAAGGGAAAAAAAGCCUGGGAUUUAUUUUCUCCCAUCUUUUACAUGCUGUCUAUCCUUCAGAUAAAUGAGAAUAGUUGUGAUAUCACUUCAAGCAAGUUAAAUGUCUUCAUAAUUGACACUUAAAACCUCAGUUGCUCAUGCUAAAACUAGAAAACAGUCAAAUUAAAAUUAGAUAAACUUCAAGGUACUUGUUUUGUAUUUCUCCAUAGAGGAAAAAAUAAACACACAGCCAUCAUUAUUUCAUGCACUUUUCAAAAUAUUUUCAUUGUAAGUGUGAUGAUAUAUUUAAAUAAAUAAAACCUAAAGAUGCUUUGUGUUUUCCAUUGGUUGCCUCGAUUUUCAAUGCAAUGUGGGAGAACAUUCUUAAUCUUUACAUCUAAUAGUACAGCUCAAUAUUAUCAUUUCAUAUUGUCCUUAUUUCACUUUUUAUUCAUAUCUUACUUUCCACAAGUGCUCAAAUAAUUGAAGUAGAAAUAAUUUUUAUUCUAUACUUCUAUUUUAUAUUUUUCUUCUGAUUAUAACUGCAUAACUUUAAUAAUGAUAAUAUGUAAUGUAUAAAUCCAUUA